Molecule: RNA transcript, 6946 nt
Organism: Centrocercus urophasianus (Greater sage-grouse)
Lineage: Eukaryota; Metazoa; Chordata; Aves; Galliformes; Phasianidae
Gene: ANO10
Gene name: anoctamin 10
Exons: 14
Source: RefSeq, a predicted model, not a curated record
CGCCUUCCGGAGCCCGCCCCACCCUGCGGAUGUGGCGCCGCGAGCCGGCGGUUCUUAAAAGAUGAAGGAAACCUGGUCUUUCUUGGAUACUUUUGAGCCUAACUUCAGGCCUCUGGUAGUAAUUGAGCUUGCAAAAGGCACAAAAAAGGAAACCAUAGAAUGGUUCACUAAAAGAAUAGUGGACAAAAAAGCCAAUGGAGGUGCACAACUACUGAUAAAACCAUUGGUUACAGAAGAUGGAGAUGAAAAUAUUUAUCUAAUUGGAGCUUCCCAUUUAAGGCUGUUGCUGGGAGCUGAAACUGUGGGUUUGGUGAAGGAAUGUAAUGAUAAUUCAAUGAGAAGUUUCACAUACAGCAGUAGAAAAACUUUCAAAGACUUUGCAGAUGAUAAUCACAAUUUCCUUACGAUGUCGGAAUGUCAGUAUAUCAUCAAACAUGAGCUUGAAAACUUGAGAGCUAGGGAUGAAAAAAUGAUCCCUGGAUAUCCACAGGCGAAGCUAUAUCCAGGAAAAUCAAUUGUGAGAAGAUUAUUGACCAAUGGCAUUCUAGUUCAGAUUUUCCCACUCCAUGACAGAGAAGAAUUGAAAAAGCUCCGACACACCUGGUAUGGCCGAGUCAAAAUUGGCUAUCAACCUUUAGAUGAGAUACGCUCCUACUUUGGUGAAACCAUCGCUCUCUACUUCGGCUUCUUAGAGUAUUUCACGUUUGCAUUGAUUCCGAUGGCUGUCAUUGGAAUCCCUUACUAUGUGUUUGCAUGGGAGGAUUAUGACAAAUACGUAAUGUUUGCCACAUUCAACCUGCUGUGGUCCACUGUGAUCCUGGAAGUUUGGAAGCGGAUUUGCGCAGUGAUGACGUACCGCUGGGGGACACUGUUGAUGAAGAGGCAGUUUGAAGAACCAAGGCCAGGUUUCCAUGGUGCUUUGGGUAUCAAUCCUGUCACUGGGAGGGAGGAACCGGUGUACUCCAGUAUUAAGAGACAGUUACGCAUUUAUCUGGUGUCCGUACCGUUUGUGUGCCUUUGCCUCUACUUCUCGCUGUACGUGAUGAUGAUUUACUUUGACUUGGAACAGUGGGCUCUGGAUUAUCAUGAGGAGAAUAAGUCCACCUUCAGCAGCUUGAUGCUCUAUGUGCCCAGUAUCAUAUAUGCUGUCGUGAUUGAAGUUAUGAACCGUAUCUAUAGGUAUGCUGCUGAAUUCUUAACAUCGUGGGAAAAUCACAGGCUGGAGUCUUCAUAUCAGAAUCAUUUAAUUCUGAAGGUUUUAGUGUUCAACUUCUUGAAUUGUUUUGCAUCUCUCUUCUACAUUGCUUUUGUGCUGUUUGAUAUGAAACUUCUGAGACAGAGCUUGGCCACUUUGCUGAUAACUUCACAGAUCCUCAAUCAGUUUGCAGAAUCCCUGCUUCCUUACUGGCUCCAGAAGAGACAUGUGAAGAAGAUGAAGAAACACACACGUUCUCUGAAAACAGAUACGGACCUGUCAUUAGUGGAACAAGUGAACUUGGAGAAAGAAAUGGGCACCUAUUUUGGUACUUUUGAUGAUUACUUGGAGUUGUUUUUACAGUUUGGCUACGUCAGUCUUUUCUCGUGUGUUUAUCCGCUGGCCGCUGUCUUUGCAGUGUUAAACAACAUCACAGAGAUAUAUUCUGAUGCUUUAAAGAUGUGUAGAGUCUACAAGCGUCCAUUUGCAGAACCCACAGCAAAUAUUGGUGUUUGGCAGUUGGCUUUUGAAACUAUGAGUGUAAUAUCAGUAGUUACUAACUGCAUACUGAUUGGAAUGUCUCCACAAGUGAAUGCCCUUUUCCCAGACUCAAAAAUGGAUCUUGUUCUGACUGUGGCACUGGUAGAGCACUUGCUACUGGCAAUAAAGUUUGUCAUGGCGUUUGUAAUUCCUGAUAAACCAAGAGAGAUACAGAUAAAGCUGGCCAAAUUGGAAUUUGAAUCACUAGAGGCUCUCAAACAACAGCAAAUGAAACUCGCUGCUGAAUCACUGAAGGAGUCAACAUGAAGGAACAAAGAUGACUACAGCAGUCACACAUGGACGUGGGCACUCCUUGAGCCUUUAUGAUGCUGCGGAGCUCUGAGUGCACACCAUGCUAUUCUGUGUGUCUGCACGUGGCACCUGCUUCUGUGAUACCUGGUAUGGUUUCAGUUGCAGGUCACAGCAUGUGGCCCAGGCAGGCUGCUGACUCAGGACCUCUCACUGGCAUUGCUGGCCUGCAGCCCCUCCUGCAAACAUAAGGACAGUAGAAGAGGAAAAGUUCCUAUUUCAGCAGGCAAGCAAUUCUGGGUGGUUUAACCUACUCUGAUCUGGGGAUACUAGGUCUUACCUCGCACUGAGGAGUUAAAACAUCAGUGCACUACUUCCCUGUUCAAGUAAGUGAAGCCAGCAGGCACCCUUCCUUCUACUCCCUGAGCCCUCUUUCCUUGGAGUGGCUUUCCCCCUUUUUGUCCAGGACGUGGAAACUGCAGAGCCUGGUGACUCACUGUCAGCCUUGAAGACUGAUGGCCUCCUACCUUACAGAGAAUGGGUCUCUGCACCCUGUGGUUUGAUUUAAAAUGUGGUGAGGAUGGCAUCUGUCAUUGCAGAUGUGAUGCAGGUGAUCCCUGGCUCAGUGUAAGAGAGCUCAUCAGCCCUUUGGGCUUGCAGGCCUGCAGCUGAGCUGCACUCCUCCCAGGCCUCAGGCACUGAGGGAGCUGAGUGUAUGUGGCAGCUGGUGCCUACGGAGAAAAACAGCUCUGUCCCUCCUUACCUCCUCCAGUCCAGUAUUUCUCAAGAGAGAGUAGGAGCAGGAAGAUGUUACACAAGAGAAAUCAGCUGCUGGGGAGACCUGACAUGGCAUGUCUAAGAGACAAGUGAAGCCCUUAAAAAAGCCCCAAGUAUUUUUUCACAGGACAAUUCUACUGCCUGGGAAAGUCAAUGGAUUUUUUUUUUUUUUUCCCCUUCUGGUAUAGUAGAAUUCAAUCAGUCACUAUUUCAGUGUUCUCAGCUCUUAGAAACUGGUAUCUUUUGCAGUACCAUGCAAAUAGGCCAAGGUAAGUUAACCUUUAACAACUGCAGUUUCAGCCUCAAAAGCAUAGUCCCAGCCUGUGCAUCAGAGCAAGGCAGACUCAAGCAGCCACAAAAACACUGCUCCUAAGGAAGGUGUCCUGGCCUUCCCUCACAACAACGUUCUUCCAUGACUUUGAUGAGUAACUUGGCUUUAGCCCAACUAGACAAACAAAUGAGUCAUGCUCAAGCUGGCCCAAGUAUGGUUAUGUUAAGAUGUUACUACUCAAACACCUUGUACCGCAAGCAAUAAUCUAGCAUCAGUGACAGACAGCUCUGCUCUGAUUUACUCGUAUCAACUGUACCAUUGGAAAGGUUGUCAUGGUGCCUCAGCUGUCUUCUGUCAUUUUUCAGUCACCUGAGGACAUUCCAGUCUGCCAGCCAAGUUUGGUAUAACUGGCUGGCACAUUCCUUUAUUUGCUCUUGAUGAAAGAUGUCUGCAAAUACAAGUUAAUAAGUCACAAUUGUUUGCCUUCUCUUAAAAACAGGAGGGGAGAGAGAGAUGGGUUGCAUUUUCCUCUGCUGAGGCAGAGGUCGCUGCUGCUACCUCCACAUUUUGCAUUGACCAGACUUGAGAUGUUCCCUAGCAGUGGUCACAGCCACCAAAGCCUAUGGGUACAUCCUCACACAGAUAGCUCAUCAUAAAGCAGUGGUACACUAAUUGCAUACAAUUAUGUAGCUUGCUUUAAAAGUAAUGCCUCCUAUUUAUUUCCAUGGAAACUACAGCAGAUACAAAGAGCACAAUGAUGGAAUUUGAUAGAGCACAUUCUCAGCCACAACUUUUUUAAAGGCACCAGAGAUGAACAUAACUUUUGGAGCAGAUAGUACAGGGCCUGUUGAAUGCCAUCCAUCCCUAAUAAUGUGGUAUGGUCACACAGCAUUGAGCAUCUCUGGUUAUGAUUUUGUUACAUCACAGUUAACUCACCAAGCCCUCACUUACCCUGACCUGGAAAUCAGUACGUGGGGAUUCUUCCAGCUGAGCACAGAGGGUUCUGGAGCCCUGGCAGCACCAGUCAUCCUGCCAUACUGUUAGAGAUGGAGCCUGGCACGCUGGGAUGCCCAGCCUCUCUCUCCUCUCAUGGGGUAUUGCUUACACAGUUCUUUCCUGAGUCACCAGAGAGGAAUCUGUUAGUGGUUACAUGCACAGACAGAUACAGACAGCAAUCAGGCACUUGCAGGCAAAACUGGCAGAGCAGUUUGGAAGCACAAGCCAGCUGUGCUGCUUAGUGGCUCAGCUACUCCUCCCCUCAACCUGAAAUGCUUUUCACAGUAUCUUGAAAACAAAGCAAAAGAAGUGUUGAUCGACUCCCUACGUGGUAAGGCACAGUGGUUUUUAAGUGAUGACAUUGACAGCCUGUGCCUGUAUUUCAGCUUAGGCAUUGCAGUUCUGUACUGACGUACUUCAUUUUAGACCAAGUGUUCAAGAGCAGAUGUUUACCAGCACAUGGCAGCCUAAACACUGCAACAUGGGACUCCGUUGCAUGCAGUACACUGUGAAGCAGUUGCAGAAAAUAAGCAGCAUUAGCUCCUGGCUGCCCGCUACCUGUGACUGCCUACAUUCAGACAGUGCUGCACCUUACCUCCUUUCUCUGCACAAAACCAGCAAGCCCUGACACUCACUUUUUGGUUGUUUUUCACUCUUACUGUUCUAUAUUGCAGAGAAGAACAGUUCUGGGUUAAGGCUGGAUUAAAGGCUGGAUUAAAGGCAUGUACAAUGCCCUGCUGAAACUUCUGCUCACAUACUUUUUUACAAGCAGAUCAGUUAACAGGCUGCCUACAGACAUGGCAAACUGAUACGCAAUCAAUUAUUUUAUCUAACAAGACAAACCUGAGACAAGUGAAGCACCUUAUUUCUAACAGCUGCCAGCAAGCUGGACACAACGUCACUCCCAACUGUCAUGGAUGUGUGCAUGGCUAAGGCUGGUCUCUGAUGAACACACAACAAAUAUUUUAUCUGAGACUUUGAAACCCUCUGUGUUCUGUACUGCACAGCUUCCGGAUGCAGAGAGAAGAGCACCAGCCAGCUGCCCUAGGUUGGCCAAGAAAAUGAGUAGGACAGGAUCAUCACAGAUGGUCUCUAGGUGCUGUAAAGUUCACCAAACACUCAACUCCUUAGAUCAUGUUGAAGUUCUGCCGAGGAAACAAACAGCUAUCUUCCCCUUUGGCAUCUGCUCAAGUAGCUUUCUGCUUAAUUAUGACACUCUAUAAGCCCAAGUAAGCAAUUUAUAACUGCAAGAGAAGAGAAGUGUGUUAACAAAAAACCCUGCAAAUAAACGUACAGCCACGCACAAAGGUGUGUGCCAGCUUCCCUUCCUGCUGUCUUCUGCUUUUGUAUAUUACUACGUGAGACCCUGAGGGGGUGAUGCUGAAGUGACUGUCCAGUGUCUGCUGCCAGAAUUCAUUCCCAGCACGCACUGCUCUGAAAGUCAAGCCUGCAGUGCAGGGAGAUCAGCAGCGUGUGCGCUGCCCUUACACACUGAGCACUGGGAGUAACAAACUGCACUGACAUGCACAGUAUAGGUUAUGCAUCAGUCAAGAUAGUACUUUUAUUAACUGGAUUUUCCAUGUCUGUCACACAUCAUGAAGUUUUAUACAAUGAAAAAGCCAAACACUGCUGGAAGCAAUAAGAUCAGCUGCUAUUUCUGUACCCUCUUAACACACGCUCACACACACACACGCAAAUUCUUUCUUGGUGAGAAAUUUUUAUAUUUGUUUGUUAAUUCUGCUUAUUUAUACUGCUACUUUUAAAAUCCUGUGUCAAGAUUGUCACAUCUUAAAUACAGAUGAAGUUGCUAGAGGUACAUUAUUUUAUAUAUAAUAUAUACACACAUACAGAAAAAUACAAGACUAAUUGUUUUUGCACAAUAUUUAAUUUAUACACUACUGUAACUAUAUGCAACUUUCAAAGACACGUUAAGGGGUACAGGGAACUGUUUACUCGCUCUAAGUAAUAGUUUGGUCCAAUAGUAUCUUAAUGUAGUGGUUCUUCUCGCCCUUCCUUCUACGUGACGACAUAAUACAACGACACCACAUGCACAGUCAUUCACCUAUCAACAGAUGGAUAAGGGACGCCACUCAGACUAACAGCUGUACGCCCAGAGGUCAACCAACCACACACAACUAGUAAGGCUAUAAUACAACUAUGCAGCAUAAAUGAUCAACACUGCUGUUCUAAAGUGAGCACCAUAUAUACAUUUGUAUAUAAAAACAUGGGAAACAAAAUACACCUGGGGUUAGUUAAAAGGUGCCAUUCCAAGGCUGUACAUAAUAUCAGGAAAGAGUAUUUACAAUGCUUGGAAAAAAGCUGCAACAAAUAAGUUUAUUGCCAAUGCCCUUUAUAAACUUUUCCUCCUACUUCGAUGUUACGCUCACUGUCCGUGAACCACACAUCUUAUUUCUGGCCCUUUAGAAGAUCCCUGCUCAAAAAACGUCAGCAAAUAUGUUCUAUGGCUUCACCCACACAUCUCUUCUUGCAGUUUUUCAUUUAUAAAUACCACACUGACUAAACUGCAACUCUCCUAAAACUUACUUAAAAGUAAAAUACUCGUCAUCACAUCCUUGUUUAGGAAGCAGAAUGUGAAAUCCCUGGCGGGAAACCCCGCGCAAUUCAGGUUCUCUUAGUAAAGUCUUUUACUAACUGAGAAGAGCUGUCAUCAACUGUAGAAAUUACAACCAAGUGUAACGCAGUUCUUUGGUGCUCUACUCACUCUACAGCAGACACGAAAUACAUUGUAUUGGCCAUUCUGCAACGUGACAAGAUGCUCAACAGUGUAAACUCCUCUCAGACAUCCAACGUCUGGCCAGGGCGCUGCUACAUAACACCACCGGUUUGAUUAGCAUUGCUCAGAAGACCCAGUGCACAGCAUGAAAAAAUAAAACAUUCUCGCCCUUCCCCAAACCAGG